AGGACUCCGGUCAUCUCUCCAUUCCGGCAUCCACUGAGGCACCAUCCAACCUUGCAGUCAUGAAGAUCUUUUCCUUUCUCUCAGCCUUUCUCUUCUUCAUGCUGCUGGCUGCUCCAGCAUUUGCUGAUGACCCAGUGACCACGGCUGAGUGUCACGAGGCGGGUGGAAGGUGUCAGUUUCUGAGAUGCCCACCAAACGUUUACCGGAUUGGAAAGUGUGAUGGUCAAAAUACUUUUUGCUGCAGAUAAUCUAAGACCAGACAGCCCAAUGACAGAGAGACGACCAG
This is a long non-coding RNA of Gekko japonicus, 286 nucleotides long. RefSeq lists it as uncharacterized. The record is from RefSeq and is a predicted model, not a curated record. The transcript has 3 exons. Lineage: Eukaryota; Metazoa; Chordata; Lepidosauria; Squamata; Gekkonidae.